Molecule: ribosomal RNA, 435 nt
Filed under: uncultured Bacillota bacterium
Lineage: Bacteria; Bacillati; Bacillota
Description: bacterial SSU rRNA
Rfam family: Bacterial small subunit ribosomal RNA
Source: RNAcentral
GGGCCCGCACAAGCAGUGGAGUAUGUGGUUUAAUUCGAAGCAACGCGAAGAACCUUACCAGGUCUUGACAUGGAGACGACCGGUGCAGAGAUGCGCCUUCCCUUCGGGGCGGCUCACACAGGUGGUGCAUGGUUGUCGUCAGCUCGUGUCGUGAGAUGUUGGGUUAAGUCCCGCAACGAGCGCAACCCUUAUUGUUAGUUGCUACGCAAGAGCACUCUAACGAGACUGCCGUUGACAAAACGGAGGAAGGUGGGGACGACGUCAAAUCAUCAUGCCCUUUAUGACCUGGGCUACACACGUACUACAAUGGCGAUAAACAGAGGGAAGCAAGACCGCGAGGUGGAGCAAAACCCUAAAGUCGUCUCAGUUCGGAUUGCAGGCUGAAACCCGCCUGCAUGAAGUCGGAAUUGCUAGUAAUCGCGGAUCAGCAUGCCG